RNA transcript from Notolabrus celidotus (New Zealand spotty), 3422 nucleotides. It is a transcript of the gene named dynamin 3a, with no coding region annotated. The transcript is spliced from 22 exons. The record is from RefSeq and is a predicted model, not a curated record. Lineage: Eukaryota; Metazoa; Chordata; Actinopteri; Labriformes; Labridae.
AGUGAAAGCUCAGGGCGCAUGCGCGCAGCCGUAGGUUCCGUUAGCUGUCAGUGUUUUUGCUUCAGUCCAUAAAGAGCUGAAGGAAAGUUUCCACUGAGGCUCUACUUAUCAAAAAAGAGACUUAACUGAGUCAUGGAGACUUAAUCCAUCAGACAUGUCUGUAACGAGCUGUUCACCGACAUUUUACAAACUUCUACCGACGGACACAGACGAGACUCCGACGGUAACAGACUAACGGAUCAGGACCAGGAUCCGGUUUUACUCAGGAGUUCAGUUCUAACUUUCUUAUGUGUCUGUUUGAGGGAUAAGUACGUCAGAGACAGCUUAAAGUAUGGUAGUCUGGGUACAGAUGGGUGUAGCCUAGAACCGGAGUCACACCGGAUCCGAACAGCUGGACGUUGCGAUGGGCAACCCCGGGAUGGAGGACCUGAUCCCGCUGGUGAACCAGCUGCAGGACGCGCUGAGCCACGUGGGGCACACCUGCAGCCUCCACCUGCCCCAGAUAGCUGUGGUGGGGGGGCAGAGCGCAGGGAAGAGUUCCGUGCUGGAGAACUUUGUGGGCAGAGACUUCCUUCCUCGGGGUUCAGGAGUCGUCACUCGCAGGCCGCUGAUCCUCCAGCUUCUCAGUGCUGACGCGGAGUACGGGGAGUUCCUGCACUGUAAGGGGAAGCAGUUCACAGACUUUGAUGAGAUCCGUCAGGAGAUCGAGGCUGAGACUCGCAGACUGACCGGGUCCAACAAAGGGAUCUCACCUGUCCCCAUCAACUUGCGCAUUUACUCCCCUCACGUGCUGAACCUGACUCUGGUGGACCUGCCCGGCAUCACAAAGGUCCCUGUGGGUGACCAGCCGUCUGACAUCGAGUAUCAGAUCAGGGACAUGAUCAUGCAGUUCAUCUGUAAGGAGAACUGUCUCAUCCUGGCUGUGACUCCAGCAAACAUGGACCUCGCAAACUCUGACGCCCUCAAACUGGCCAAAGACGUGGACCCUCAGGGUCUGCGCACCAUCGGAGUGAUCACUAAGCUGGACCUGAUGGAUGCAGGGACGGACGCUCGGCAGAUCCUGGAGAACAGGCUGCUUCCCCUGCGCAGAGGUUACAUCGGCGUGGUGAACCGCAGUCAGAAGGACAUCGACGGGAAGAAAGACGUGGGCGCCGCUCUGCUGGCUGAGCACAAGUUCUUCCUGACGCACCCUGCCUACAGACACAUGGCCGACCGCAUGGGCACACCAUACCUCCAGAGAGUGCUGAACCAGCAACUGACGAAUCACAUCAGAGAGACUCUGCCGGCCGUCCGCGGUCAUCUUCAGGAGCAGCUGCUCGCCCUGAACCGAGAGGCCGAGGAGUACCAACACUUCAGUCCAGACGACCCGGCACGCAGGACCAAGACCCUGCUCCAGUUGGUUCAGCGUCUCUCUGUGGACUUUGAGAAGCUGAUCGAGGGGACAGGAGAUGAAGUGGACACGGUUAAUCUGUCAGCGGGAGCGAAAAUCAACCGGAUCUUCCACGAACGCUUCCCCUAUGAACUGGUCAAGAUGGAGUCGGACGAGAAGAAGCUGCGGAGAGAGAUUAACUACGCCAUCAGAAACAUCCACGGUGUCAGGACGGGUCUGUUCACUCCUAACAUGGCGUUUGAAGCCAUCGUGAAGAAGCAGAUAUUGAGACUGAAGGGGCCGUGCUUUAAGUUCGUUGACAUGGUCGGUCAGGAGCUCACCAAUUCAGUGUAUCAGUGUAUCAACAAGCUCAGCUCGUUUCCCAAACUGCGGGAUGAGACGGAGAAGAUCGUGACCACAGAGAUACGAGAGCAGGAGAGUAAAUGCAGAGACCAGGUGCUGCUGCUCAUCGACAUCCAGCUGGCCUACGUUAACACUAAACAUGAAGACUUCAUCGGCUUCACUAACGCUCAGAGGACAAAUAACCACAACAACCAGAAGAAUGUCACUGGGACUGCAGGAAACCAGGGCGUGACUCCUCUCUCCAGCCUCAUAGUGAUAAGAAAAGGUUGGCUGACCAUCAAUAACCUCGGCAUCAUGAAGGGCGGAGCCAAAGAGUACUGGUUCAUCCUGACAGCAGAGACUCUGUCCUGGUACAAAGACGACGAGGAGAAGGAGAAGAAGUACAUGCUCCCUCUGGACAACCUGAAGCUCAGAGACGUGGAGAAGAGCUUCAUGUCCAGCAAGUUCCUCUUCUCCCUCUUCAACACAGAGCUAAGGAACGUGUAUAAGGACUAUAGGAGUCUGGAUCUGGCCUGCAGCUCUCAGGACGAGCUGGACGGCUGGAAGGCGUCUCUGCUGCAGGCCGGAGUUUACCCCGAGAGAGUCGCUAGAGUCCCCCGCCCCUUCAUCUCGCUCUGUCGUUGGCUCCUCACAGCAGCAUUCCCUGCACAUGAUGUCACUGCAACAUCCGCUCCUCCUCCUCCUCAGAGCAAAGAACAGAUGACAAGAUACAACUUUAACUCCACACACACCUCACACAUCUGUGUGUGUGUGUGUGUGUGUGUGUGUGUGUGUGUGUGUGUGUGUGUGUGUGUGUGUGUGUGUGUGUGUGUGUGUUUGUGUGUGUGUGCCUUAGGUGGACUCGGAGGGUAACGGAUCUCCUGAGAUCCUCUCAGACCCUCAGCUGGAGCGUCAGGUGGAGACAAUCCGCAGCCUGGUGGAGUCCUACAUGAGCAUCAUCUAUAAGACCAUCAAAGACCUGAUGCCGAAGACCAUCAUGCACCUGAUGAUCAACAGUGUGAAGGAGUUCAUCAGCUCGGAGCUCCUGGCUCAGCUGUACGCUCUGGGAGAAGGAGGCGCUCUGAUGGAUGAGUCAGCAGAGCAGCAGCAGCACCGCCAGGAGGUGCUCAGCAAGCACGCCGCCCUGAAGGAGGCGCUGUCUGUCAUCGGACAGAUCUCCACCUCCACCUGCACCACCCCUCUGCCUCCACCUGUGGACUCCUCCUGGAUCCAGCCCUCCAGUGUCACUCCUAAGAAGUCAGCAGCCAGCAACAGACCUGUGGGUCGAGGUCAGGCUCCGUCUGCACCCCGCCUGCCCCCACACAGUGGACCCACUGCUCCCCCUAGCAUGAGCGGCCUUCAGCAGCCCACCAGCCAACCACACCGCCCCCCACCCAGCGUGCCAAGGAGGAAUCCACCGGCCAUCCCAAACGGGAAAUAACAGACCUUCCUGCUCAGAACUCCAUUACCCACGUGCCCCGGCUGCAGCUGACCUGGAUGAUGUGUAAUCCAGAUGCAGCUUGAUGCGCCUCUGAGAGUCUGAAGGAUCUGCAGAUUCUGUUUUCUACAUCAAACCCUCCGCCAUGAGAGCUGGAAUGUACCGAACCGUCUGCUGCCUGAACUGUACAUAAAAUACUGACUUAUAUUACUAUGAGAGAAUACACAUGCACUAUUUUUACUGUUUUUAAUAAACAGGUAUUUUAUUUUUCAA